This 391-nucleotide ribosomal RNA is filed under the name uncultured bacterium. RNAcentral's name for it is "bacterial SSU rRNA". It matches the Rfam family "Bacterial small subunit ribosomal RNA", at positions 148 to 518 of the family's 1533-position model. The record is from RNAcentral.
AUCCGGAAACGGGGUGCUAAUAACCGCAUAGUUUUCUUGAUCGCAUGAUCGGGAAAGGAAAGACGGCCUUUGUGCUGUCGCUUAUGGAUGGACCCGCGGCGUAUUAGUUAGUUGGUGAGGUAACGGCUCACCAAGACGAUGAUACGUAGCCGACCUGAGAGGGUGAUCGGCCACAUUGGGACUGAGACACGGCCCAAACUCCUACGGGAGGCAGCAGUAGGGAAUCUUCCGCAAUGGACGAAAGUCUGACGGAGCAACGCCGCGUGAGUGAAAAGGAAGGUUUUCGGAUCGUAAAACUCUGUUGUCAGAGAAGAACAAGUUGGAGAGUAACUGCUCCAGCCUUGACGGUAUCUGACCAGAAAGCCACGGCUAACUACGUGCCAGCCGCCGC